RNAcentral lists this ribosomal RNA (1508 nucleotides) under uncultured prokaryote. RNAcentral describes it as "partial 16S ribosomal RNA". It matches the Rfam family "Bacterial small subunit ribosomal RNA". The record is from RNAcentral.
GGAUUAGGCAUGCAAGUCGAACGAGAAAGCUUCCUUCGGGAAGUGAUUAAAGUGGCGAAAGGGUGAGUAAUGUAUGGAUGACUUACCCUCGAGACGGGGACAACAGCUCGAAAGGGCUGCUAAUACCCGAUAGUUCCUGUUGCCCAAGGGCUUCAGGAUAAAUGGUGCUUCCGCUUUGGGAGAAGUCGAUGGCCUAUCAGCUUGUUGGUGGGGUAAUGGCCCACCAAGGCGUAGACGGGUAGCCGGACUGAGAGGUUGACCGGCCUCACUGGGACUGAGACACUGCCCAGACUCCUACGGGAGGCUGCAGUCGAGAAUCAUCCGCAAUGGGCGAAAGCCUGACGGUGCGACGCCGCGUGUAGGAAGAAGGCCCUCGGGUUGUAAACUACUGUCACACGUUAUGACUGGAGUUAAUAGCUCCAGUCCUGACAAAAGCGUGGAAGGAAGUCACGGCUAACUUCGUGCCAGCAGCCGCGGUAAUACGAAGGUGGCAAACGUUGCUCGAAAUUACUGGGCAUAAAGCGCGCGUAGGUGGCGCGGCAAGCGGGGAAUGAAAUCCCAGGGCUCACCCCUGGAACUGUUCCCCGAACUGCCGUGCUUGAGGAUGGGAGGGGAGAGUGGAAUUCCUGGUGUAGCGGUGAAAUGCGUAGAUAUCAGGAGGAACACCCGUGGCGAAGGCGACUCUCUAUCUCGUUUCUGACGCUGAGGUGCGAAAGCUAGGGUAGCGAACGGGAUUAGAUACCCCGGUAGUCCUAGCCGUAAACGAUGAGUACUAGGUAGGGGGAGUUCUGACACUUUCCCUGCUGGAGCUAAUGUUUUAAGUACUCCGCCUGGGGAGUAUGGUCGCAAGGCUAAAACUCAAAGAAAUUGACGGGGGCCUGCACAAGCGGUGGAGCAUGUGGUUUAAUUCGAAGCAACGCGAAGAACCUUACCCAGACUUGACAUGUAGGGAUUAACCUUCUGAAAGGAAGGGAUUGCCUUCGGGUGUAACCUACACAGGUGUUGCAUGGCUGUCGUCAGCUCGUGUCGUGAGAUGUCGGGUUAAGUCCCUCAACGAGCGAAACCCUUAUCUUUAGUUGCCAGCGGGUCAUGCCGGGGACUCUAGAGAGACUGCCGUUGUGAAAACGGAGGAAGGUGGGGACGACGUCAAGUCAUCAUGGCCUUUAUGUCCGGGGCUACACACGUGCUACAAUGGCUGGUACAAAGGGAAGCGAAACCGCGAGGUCAAGCAAAACCCACAAAGCCGACCCCAGUUCGGAUUGGAGGCUGCAAUUCGCCCGCAUGAAGUCGGAAUCGCUAGUAAUCGCGGAUCGGCUACGCCGCGGUGAAUAUGUUCCUGAGCCUUGUACACACCGCCCGUCAAGCCACGAAAGUUGACAGUACCUUAAGUCGUGUACCUAACUCGAACCUUCGGGAACGGGAGGGCGGCGCCCACGGUAAGGUCGAUGAUUGGGACUAAGUCGUAACAAGGUAGCCGUAGGGGAACCUGUGGCUGGAUCACCUCCUUU